RNAcentral lists this ribosomal RNA (722 nucleotides) under Vanrija musci. RNAcentral's name for it is "eukaryotic LSU rRNA". The stretch from base 103 to 722 matches the Rfam family "Eukaryotic large subunit ribosomal RNA", at positions 1 to 634 of the family's 3401-position model. The record is from RNAcentral. Lineage: Eukaryota; Fungi; Basidiomycota; Tremellomycetes; Trichosporonales; Trichosporonaceae.
UUAAAGGAGUUAGCGAGUAUAGCAAUGUCGUCGGGCGUAAUAAGUUUCGCUGGGUUGACGUGUGAAGCACGCUUCUAAUCGCCCUCGGGCAAUUUUUGACUCUGGCCUCAAAUCAGGUAGGACUACCCGCUGAACUUAAGCAUAUCAAUAAGCGGAGGAAAAGAAACUAACAAGGAUUCCCCUAGUAGCGGCGAGUGAAGCGGGAAGAGCUCAAAUUUGUAAUCUGGCGUCCUUCGGGCGUCCGAGUUGUAAUCUAUAGAAGUGUUUUCCGUGCCGGACCAUGUCCAAGUCCCUUGGAACAGGGUAUCAAAGAGGGUGACAAUCCCGUACUUGACAUGACCACCGGUGCUCUGUGAUACACUUUCUACGAGUCGAGUUGUUUGGGAAUGCAGCUCAAAAUGGGUGGUAAAUUCCAUCUAAAGCUAAAUAUUGGCGAGAGACCGAUAGCGAACAAGUACCGUGAGGGAAAGAUGAAAAGCACUUUGGAAAGAGAGUUAAACAGUACGUGAAAUUGUUGAAAGGGAAACGAUUGAAGUCAGUCGUGUUCUUUGGACUCAGCCGGUUCUUCCGGUCUAUUUCCUUUGAACGGGUCAACAUCAGUUUUGUCCGGUGGAUAAAGGCAGGAAGAAAGUGGCUCCCUCGGGAGUGUUAUAGCUUUCUGUCACAUACACUGGAGGAGACUGAGGACUGCAGCUCGCCUUUUGGCCGGGGUUCGCCCACGU